UACGAAGGGUGCAAGCGUUGCUCGGAAUUAUUGGGCGUAAAGCGCACGUAGGCGGCUUAGCAAGUCGGAAGUGAAAUCCCACGGCUCAACCAUGGAAGUGCUUUCGAAACUGCUGAGCUUGAGUACGAAAGAGGAUCGCGGAAUUCCCGGUGUAGAGGUGAAAUUCGUAGAUAUCGGGAGGAACACCAGUGGCGAAGGCGGCGAUCUGGGUCGAUACUGACGCUGAGGUGCGAAAGCGUGGGGAGCAAACAGG
RNAcentral lists this ribosomal RNA (253 nucleotides) under uncultured bacterium. RNAcentral's name for it is "partial 16S ribosomal RNA". It matches the Rfam family "Bacterial small subunit ribosomal RNA", at positions 524 to 776 of the family's 1533-position model. The record is from RNAcentral.